CCUACGGGAGGCAGCAGUGGGGAAUCUUGCGCAAUGGGGGCAACCCUGACGCAGCCAUGCCGCGUGAAUGAUGAAGGCCUUAGGGUUGUAAAGUUCUUUUGCCCGUGACGAUGAUGACGGUAACGGGAGAAUAAGCUCCGGCUAACUUCGUGCCAGCAGCCGCGGUAAUACGAAGGGGGCUAGCGUUGUUCGGAAUUACUGGGCGUAAAGCGCGCGCAGGCGGUUCGAUAAGUUAGGGGUGAAAUCCCUGGGCUCAACCCAGGAAUGGCCUUUAAGACUGUCGAGCUAGAGGACGAGAGAGGUGAGUGGAAUUCCCAGUGUAGAGGUGAAAUUCGUAGAUAUUGGGAAGAACACCGGUGGCGAAGGCGGCUCACUGGCUCGUUUCUGACGCUGAGGCGCGAAAGCGUGGGGAGCAAACAGGAUUAGAUACCCUGGUAGUCCACGCCCUAAACGAUGAGUGCCAGGUGUCGGGAAGCUUAGCUUCUCGGCGCCGCAGCUAACGCCUUAAGCACUCCGCCUGGGGAGUACGGCCGCAAGGUAAAACUCAAAGGAAUUAGACGG
RNAcentral lists this ribosomal RNA (561 nucleotides) under uncultured bacterium. Its description in RNAcentral is "bacterial SSU rRNA". It matches the Rfam family "Bacterial small subunit ribosomal RNA", at positions 338 to 917 of the family's 1533-position model. The record is from RNAcentral.